UACGUAGGUGGCAAGCGUUGUCCGGAUUUACUGGGCGUAAAGGGAGUGUAGGCGGAUACUUAAGUCAGAUGUGAAAUACCCGGGCUCAACUUGGGUGCUGCAUUUGAAACUGGGUAUCUAGAGUGCAGGAGAGGAAAGUGGAAUUCCUAGUGUAGCGGUGAAAUGCGUAGAGAUUAGGAAGAACACCAGUGGCGAAGGCGACUUUCUGGACUGUAACUGACGCUGAGGCUCGAAAGCGUGGGGAGCAAACAGGAUUAGAUACCCUGGUAGUCCACGCCGUAAACGAUGGGUACUAGGUGUGGGAGGGAUCGACUCCUUCCGUGCCGCCGUUAACACAAUAAGUACCCCGCCUGGGGAGUACGGUCGCAAGAUUAAA
RNAcentral lists this ribosomal RNA (376 nucleotides) under uncultured bacterium. RNAcentral describes it as "bacterial SSU rRNA". It matches the Rfam family "Bacterial small subunit ribosomal RNA", at positions 524 to 898 of the family's 1533-position model. The record is from RNAcentral.